Long non-coding RNA from Mastomys coucha (southern multimammate mouse), 1191 nucleotides. RefSeq lists it as uncharacterized. The transcript has 6 exons. NCBI's taxonomy places the organism in Eukaryota, Metazoa, Chordata, Mammalia, Rodentia, Muridae. The record is from RefSeq and is a predicted model, not a curated record.
GAUGAUGACCUACAGGUCCCGUGAUGUCACAAUCUGACAGCCCUGCGAUGUCACACACCAGCACUAAGAAACUAAGGGGAUUAAGACUGUUGGUCUUUGGAGGGGUACCAUGUGUCAGCCGUUAUAGAAGGCGACAGCGAGCAGACCUAUGAGGAGGAGACUUGAGCAUCUGUUGACGUUGGUGCUGAGGGAAGUCCUGGAAUUCAUCCCCCAUGGACACUAGUGGACAACUAUGCUCCAGGAUUGCUGAGAAAGGUAACAAUGCACCAAGUUCAAAGCAGCCAAUUAAAGGAACUUCUUGACUUCAUAAGACAGACUUCAAACUGGGGAGGCAGGCCAUAAACAGGCAAAUACAGAGGCAGAUUCGGAGAAGAGCCACGAAGAGUUUAGAAAGACAAGAUUUACAAAAGACAAACAGGGAUGCUUUGGGGAGCAUUUUGAACAGUAACAACACAAAACCCAGAUGGAAAGAGAACCAAGACACAAGACCUAGGCUCCUGUCCAGGAAAACAAGGAACUAGAUAGUUGGGAAGGAAGAACCUCAGGAAACACAACAUUUGCUGAGCACACUGGAGACAGAAGAGCCCCUCUCUACUCCAAACUUCUGAGAAACAACAAGAGAAACCAGAGGGAGGAAGAGGGCCGCCAGAUGCCACUCAACUGCCCACUUGUAACACGCUAACAGAGAAAUAAAGAAAAGGGUAAUCCCUUCUCAGGCAAAAGGCACUGUGGACUGUGAAGAGAAACCACAGCCUGCUCCUAAUAGCAAAGAGAAGCUGAGAGAAAGCUGUCUUCCCAUGCGUGCUAAAUGUGCCAGUCCUGAGUGGGCUUGCUAUGGGUCCAGCCUUGAAGGGGGAGUCAAGGACUGAGUCCCAUCAGUGCAGGACACCCCAAGAGCAUCCAGAAUCCACAUUGCUUUCACAAAGAAGUCUGUGAACCUGGACGUGGAGUCUGCACCUUCCCCAGACCUAGCUUCUGAACACUUGCACCCAAGGAAGGAGUCCUGUGGUGGGCUGGCUCAUUUCUCCCCGCUGUCUCUGCUACCUCCAAAGAGCCUGUCAUUAAGGCUUUGUCCCUGGCUCUCUGAUUUACAUGUACAAAUAAUCGCUGUCAGGGGCAUGAGCCCCAGAGAGCAAUAAUAGAUUCUGGUAGUAGCAGAUGUAGGAAAUAAAAACAAAAUAACGAAACACA